RNAcentral lists this long non-coding RNA (234 nucleotides) under Solanum tuberosum (potato). RNAcentral describes it as "long non-coding RNA (STUB_LNC001119)". The record is from RNAcentral. Lineage: Eukaryota; Viridiplantae; Streptophyta; Magnoliopsida; Solanales; Solanaceae.
AUGGGUGGUACUUGACCAACGGGUGGUACAAUGGAUGGUACUUGACCAACAAUGGGUGGUAUUAGCUGGCUAACAAUGCCUGGUAAUACUUCGUUAAGAAUGGGUGGUAAUAAUCUUCCAACAAUGGGUGGUAAUAGUUGGUUAAGAAGGGAUGGUAAUAGUUGGUUAAGAAGGGGUGCCAAUUGGCCAACACUGGGUGGUACAAUGGGUGGUACUUGUCCAACAAUGGGNNNN